GGUCAAGCGAACAAGUGCAUGUGGUGGAUGCCUUGGCGAUCACAGGCGAUGAAGGACGCGGUAGCCUGCGAAAAGCCCCGGGGAGCUGGCAAACAAGCUUUGAUCCGGGGAUGUCCGAAUGGGGAAACCCACUCCGUAUGGAGUAUCCAUGACUGAAUACAUAGGUCAUGUGAAGCGAACGCGGUGAACUGAAACAUCUAAGUAACCGCAGGAAAAGAAAUCAACCGAGAUUCCCAAAGUAGUGGCGAGCGAAAUGGGAUGAG
Molecule: ribosomal RNA, 263 nt
Filed under: Burkholderia multivorans
Lineage: Bacteria; Pseudomonadati; Pseudomonadota; Betaproteobacteria; Burkholderiales; Burkholderiaceae
Description: partial 23S ribosomal RNA
Rfam family: Bacterial large subunit ribosomal RNA
Source: RNAcentral